Long non-coding RNA from Macaca mulatta (Rhesus monkey), 2065 nucleotides. The record is from Ensembl. NCBI's taxonomy places the organism in Eukaryota, Metazoa, Chordata, Mammalia, Primates, Cercopithecidae.
CCCUUCCCGCUGGUGGCUGGGCGGCCUACAAGGAGAUGAGGACCCGCGGGAGAAAAUGGCUGCGGGCUCUUAGCACUUGGGGACUUCUGCGCCUCGCAACCCGACGACAAGGGCUUCCAGACCCCCUGCGGCAGGUGCUGGGCGAGGCAAAGCUGCGCUUCCUCUGCAACUAGCCCGCCGCUUCCCUCCCUGCGCCCCCUCCCCCAGCCCCGAGCGCGGACCUGGAGCGGAGAGGAGGGGGCAGUGCCUCGAACCCGGGGCCGCAGUCGAGGGGCGCGCGUCGUUGCUCUGGGACUCACUGCCGACCAACCCCCAUUCCUCAGGUGCUCGGCCCCUUCCCCAAGGCGCAGGACGUAGAGCCUGGGCGGGGCCCCCUCCCCAGCAGCAGUCAGCGGACCUGCACGAGUCAGACUACACUUCUGGUGCACCUGGGACCUUGGUGCGCUGGGUUGAGGGCUUAGGGGUGGUUCUGGUUGGGGUGGCGCUUUGGAACUGUGCGCAGGAGCCGAUGAAUUCCCCCGAGUGUGUGUUUUCUGUAUGUGUCUCCGUCUGUGCAGAAAGCCGAGCCAACCACUAGACCUCUGUGAAUGGGGAGAGCUUCACCCUCCAAAAUAUCCAGUUGGUCCCCUCUCCCAUAGCAACUCCAGGUUUUAUAAAUAAUAAUCUUUGAGACCCGGUGCGAUGGCUCACGCCUGUAAUCCUAGCACCUGGGAGGAGGGGCGGGCGGGUCACUUGAGCCCGAGUUGGAGUUCAAUAAGGCCAAAAGUGUAAACAACCCAAAUGCCCACCAACUGAUGAAUGACUAGACAGAAUGUGAUAUAUCCAUAUAAUCAUAUAUUAUUCAGCAAUACAAAGGAUUGCGUUGCUGAUAUGGGCUACAACAUGGGUGAACCUCAGAAGCACUACUAUUAUAGGAAAGCGGUCACUAUCCACACCCCAAGAGAGGGCUCUUGGCUCUCUCGCAAGAAAGAAUUUAGGGCGAGGUCCAUAGUGCAAAGCAAAAGCAAGUUUAUUAAGAAAUAAAGAAAUAAAAGAAUAGCUACUCCAUAGACAGAGGGCUGCUGGUUGCCCAUGUUAAUGGUUAUUUCUUGAUGAUCUACUAAACAACGGGUGGAUUAUUUAUGCCUCCCCUUUUUAGACCAUUUAGGGUAACUUCCUGAUGUUGUCAUAGCAUUUGUAAACUGUCAUGGCGCUUUUAGGAGUAUAGCAGUGAGGACAACCAGAGGUCACUCUUGUCGCCAUCUUGGUUUUGGUGGGUUUUAGCUGGCUUCUUUACUGCAACUUGUUUUAUCAGCAAGGUCUUUAUGACCUGUAUCUUGUGCCAACCUCCUAUGUCAUUCUGUGACUUAGAAUAGCUUAACCCUCUGGGAAUGUAGCCCAGUAGGUCUCAGCCUCAUUUUACCCAGCUCUUAUUUAAAAUGGAGUUGCUCUGGGUCACAUGCCUCUGACAUGAUAAGUGAAAGAAGCCAAUCAUACACAUACAAACAAAUACAUACUGCAUGCCUGCAAUGUGAAAUGUCCAGAAUAGGCAAACUAUAUAGAGAAAAAGUAGAACAGUGGUUGCCUAGGACUGCAAGGUGGCAGGGUAGGAUUAUGGAAUGGCUACUAAUGGGCAUAAGUUUUCUUUUGGGGAUGAUGAAAAUGUUCUAGAAUUAGAUUGUAGUGAUGGUUGUAUAAAAACUACUGAAUUGUACACUUUAAACUGUGAGCUCUAUAAUACAUGAUUUAUAUCUCAAUAAAGGUGUUAGAAAAAGAAAGCGCCUGGCGUGGUGGCUCACGCCUGUAAUCCCAGCACUUUGGGAGGCCAAGAUGGGUGGAUUGCCUGAGUCUAGGAGUUCAAGACCAGCCUGGCUAACAUGGUGAAACCCCGUCUCUACUAAAAAUACAAAAAUUAGCUGGGCGUGGUGGUUGGCGCCUGUAAUCCCAGCUACUCAGGAGGCUGAGGCAGGAGAAUCGCUGGAACCCAGGAGGUGGAGGUUGCAUUGAGCUGAGAUUGCAACAUUGCACUCCAGACUGGGCAACAAGAAUGAAACUCCGUCUCAAAAAAAAAAAAAUAAAAAAAAAA